Molecule: non-coding RNA, 131 nt
Organism: Triticum aestivum (bread wheat)
Lineage: Eukaryota; Viridiplantae; Streptophyta; Magnoliopsida; Poales; Poaceae
Source: Rfam
UUUCUACUUCCUCCGUCCGAAAAAACUUGUCCCAAGCUUGUCCCUCAAAUAAAUGUAUCUAGCACCAAAUUAGUGCUAGACUAGAUACAUCCAUUUAAGGGACAAACUUUUUCAGACGGAGGAAGUAGAUU